UGGGGAAUCUUGCACAAUGGAGGAAACUCUGAUGCAGCGACGCCGCGUGAGCGAAACAGCCUUUCGGGGUGUAAAGCUCUUACGCCAGGGACGAUAAUGACGGUACCUGGAGAAGCAGCUGCGGCUAACUACGUGCCAGCAGCCGCGGUAAUACGUAGGCAGCAAGCGUUUUUCGGAAUUACUGGGCGUAAAGGGUGCGUAGGCGGCGCUCUAAGUUUGGUGGGAAAUCUCCCGGCUUAACUGGGAGGGUGCACUGAAAACUGGGGCGCUCGAGUAUGGGAGAGGAAAGCGGAAUUCCUGGGGUAGCGGUGAAAUGCGUAGAGAUCAGGAGUAACACCUGCGGUGCAGACGGCUUUCUGGACCAUCACUGACGCUGAGGCACGAAAGCGUGGGUAGCAAACA
This 402-nucleotide ribosomal RNA is filed under the name uncultured bacterium. Its description in RNAcentral is "bacterial SSU rRNA". It matches the Rfam family "Bacterial small subunit ribosomal RNA", at positions 355 to 774 of the family's 1533-position model. The record is from RNAcentral.